This is a non-coding RNA of Vigna umbellata (rice bean), 546 nucleotides long. The record is from RefSeq and is a predicted model, not a curated record. NCBI's taxonomy places the organism in Eukaryota, Viridiplantae, Streptophyta, Magnoliopsida, Fabales, Fabaceae.
UUCAAACCCAAUUAAUGGUUAAGGGUGUUUUCUACUCCACGGUCACAUUGGCAUAAAUAAACUGUACUUUUUAUAAUAGACUGACCAUACACUGCAGGCCAACUUUGUCUUAGUGAUAUUUGAUACAUACAUCUGUUGUGGUUAUUACACCAUACACCUUCGUAAUUCAGUUUUCUUUUCUGUUGUUACUUGAUCCCUUUUGAGCUAUCGCAAUAUUUGCUAUUUACUGGAAUUCUCUUUGAAUUCUCUAACCAUGACACAUAUUGUGGUUGCUAAUGUUUUCUUUUCAGGUGUACAUUAUUAGAGCGAAUGGUCCUUCAAAGGAUAAACAACUCGAGUGAAUUGCAUUUGGAGAUUGCAGCCAGUAAAUUAAUCUAGGAGCUCUAAUGUAGUGGAAGAAACGUCUUCGGGCUCAGUUUGUGUGAAAGACCAACUUGUGUUUGUAUGUAUCCUCUUUGAGGAGUGCAAGUUCAUGUAACUAUUCUACUUCUGUAAUCUAUAUAUGCAUAUAAUUGAAUUGAAUGACCCCAUGACGAACUUCUUGAA